This 681-nucleotide long non-coding RNA is filed under the name Anas platyrhynchos platyrhynchos (common mallard). Its description in RNAcentral is "lncRNA (ENSAPLG00000018640.1)". Lineage: Eukaryota; Metazoa; Chordata; Aves; Anseriformes; Anatidae. The record is from RNAcentral.
UGGGUAGUCAUAUCUGGCAUUUAUAAGUUAUUUCAACAGCUAGAUCAGUAAAUCUAUCAGAUGAGAGUAGAUAAAAGAAAGUUCUUUGUCAUUUUUGCUUUAUUUGAUAGCACAACCAAAUGCCCCAUGGAGGUCGAGGAGGUUCUGACGAGUGGUUCUAUGAGGACCAUACAUAAAUGUGAAUGACUAACCAUAUCUCUGAAGAUGGAUUCCUGGCAAAAGUAGUCUUGUAUUCCCCGUAGCUGGCUUUGAAGAUGGAAGAAACACAGCUGUUACCGUUGCUGCAGUUAGCUCAAAGCUGUGGGGUCCUGGGCGUUGAUGACAUAUCCUAGACCAGAUUGUAGCAGCAACAAUCAAGAACUAGAGCAGUCCCCUUUGACUGUUUCAGCACACUUUGGAUCAGGGACACAGAGGAAAAAGUUAUUUUUAACAGCUAUUUCACUCAGGAGGAUUGACAAUGCAGUGGACACCUGCUGUGACCAAAGAAACCUUCAGUGAAAUGGGAGAUUGAAUUUAAUACAAAAAUGCAGCAUGGAUGAUCCAUCUCACAACAGUUCUUCAGGAGUACUGUUGAGUGGUCUCAGCAAUAGCUCGUAGAUUAUACACCAAAGAAGGGGAAGAACAAAGGAUGCUGUCUGUCCUAAAGAGAUAAUAAAAUAAAGAUGGACAGAAAAAGAAUCA